GCCGGUGUGAUGGAAUUGGCAGACGUGCUGGACUCAAAAUCCAGUUCCCGCGAGGGAGUACCGGUUCGACCCCGGUCACCGGCACCA
Molecule: transfer RNA, 87 nt
Filed under: Clostridia bacterium
Lineage: Bacteria; Bacillati; Bacillota; Clostridia
Also listed under: 1 other name
Description: tRNA-Leu
Rfam family: tRNA
About the family: Transfer RNA (tRNA) molecules are approximately 80 nucleotides in length. Their secondary structure includes four short double-helical elements and three loops (D, anti-codon, and T loops). Further hydrogen bonds mediate the characteristic L-shaped molecular structure. tRNAs have two regions of fundamental functional importance: the anti-codon, which is responsible for specific mRNA codon recognition, and the 3' end, to which the tRNAs corresponding amino acid is attached (by aminoacyl-tRNA synthetases). tRNAs cope with the degeneracy of the genetic code in two manners: having more than one tRNA (with a specific anti-codon) for a particular amino acid; and 'wobble' base-pairing, i.e. permitting non-standard base-pairing at the 3rd anti-codon position.
Source: RNAcentral